GAUGAACGCUGGCGGCGUGCCUAAUACAUGCAAGUCGAGCGAACGGACGAGAAGCUUGCUUCUCUGAUGUUAGCGGCGGACGGGUGAGUAACACGUGGAUAACCUACCUAUAAGACUGGGAUAACUUCGGGAAACCGUAGCUAAUACCGGAUAAUAUUUUGAACCGCUUGGUUCAAAAGUGAAAGACGGUCUUGCUGUCACUUAUAGAUGGAUCCGCGCUGCAUUAGCUAGUUGGUAAGGUAACGGCUUACCAAGGCAACGAUGCAUAGCCGACCUGAGAGGGUGAUCGGCCACACUGGAACUGAGACACGGUCCAGACUCCUACGGGAGGCAGCAGUAGGGAAUCUUCCGCAAUAGGCGAAAGCCUGACGGAGCAACGCCGCGUGAGUGAUGAAGGUCUUCGGAUCGUAAAACUCUGUUAUUAGGGAAGAACAUAUGUGUAAGUAACUGUGCACAUCUUGACGGUACCUAAUCAGAAAGCCACGGCUAGCUACGUGC
This 498-nucleotide ribosomal RNA is filed under the name uncultured bacterium. RNAcentral describes it as "partial 16S ribosomal RNA". It matches the Rfam family "Bacterial small subunit ribosomal RNA", at positions 28 to 508 of the family's 1533-position model. The record is from RNAcentral.